This 111-nucleotide ribosomal RNA is filed under the name Salmonella enterica subsp. enterica serovar Indiana. Lineage: Bacteria; Pseudomonadati; Pseudomonadota; Gammaproteobacteria; Enterobacterales; Enterobacteriaceae. The record is from RNAcentral.
CGGCACUAGCGCGGUGGUCCCACCUGACCCCAUGCCGAACUCAGAAGUGAAACGCCGUAGCGCCGAUGGUAGUGUGGGGUCUCCCCAUGCGAGAGUAGGGAACUGCCAGAC